This is a non-coding RNA of Microcebus murinus (gray mouse lemur), 1173 nucleotides long. The record is from RefSeq and is a predicted model, not a curated record. NCBI's taxonomy places the organism in Eukaryota, Metazoa, Chordata, Mammalia, Primates, Cheirogaleidae.
CCCGCCCUUUGCCCUGCCUCCCACCCAGACCGAGCCGGCCCGGCGGCGGGGAGGUCUGGGCAGCCGUUCCCACCUCUGGGCGGCGGCGGGGAGGAAGGGAGGCCAGAGUUUGCGUCCUCUGGUGAAGAGGGUGGGAGGCCCAGGAGGAAUCGCGAUCUGAACAAAGACCACUACCUGCGCGGUGACCCCCUCCAGGGCAGGGGGCUGCCCGGGGCCCCAAACCCGCAGUUUCUUUCCCACACAGAAUUCCUGGCCCCGGACCCUCGUACACUACGGGAAGCCUCCGCGUCCGGGGAAGCUGGGGUCUAGAGAAAGCACCUCGGGGAAGGAGGGGGAAGGAGGGCGUCUGCCAGGCUGUGCGCUGAGCGCGGCGCCGGGCAAGGCGGCCGCCAGCAAGUAGGUGCCGCACAGGGGAGCGCGGAGGAGCUCUGGGAAGGCCGGAGUUCCAGGAGGAGCUGGUCAGGGAGCCGAGUGUGGUCUAAGUAGCGCCCUCCAGCCUGGGGCAGGAGAUUUAGUCACCACGCCAGAGCAGAGAGCAUUUUAACUUUGGGAGUCUAACUUAAAGGAUCCGUCCUCUGGCCAUGGAGAAACUGCAUUUCCAAGAGUGUUCUUAUUCCGACAGCAAUUGACUCCAGCAGUCUUUUCGGAGAAGAAGCAAUCCCACAGUUCGCCCUUAUACUUCUGGAAAUAGGCUAAGACAGACAAACGUCCUGAGAGCUUAACCCAUUUGGAGCAAAAAGAGGAUCAGAUUCCCAACUAUUGUUAGACUGGUCUCCUGAUGUGACCAAAAAACAUGUUCCCUGGAAGGUGGAGACCAAGAGAGAGUGCUCCAACUUGGUCACAAGUCAAGUUCUCAAGGACAUAAAACAAGAUGGGAGGGAAACUCAGGUAGUGCCUGUCUUCAUAACAGAACACAGAAUCACAAAGGCAGAGGGAAGACUGUUUCUGGGAGGAAGGGAUUGAAUACUAUGACGAUAUACACAGUACCGAGAAGUACACCAAAGUCACCGCCCCCAGGCUGGCCACAAAAAUCCUUUCUUCCCAUUAAUCAAAACCUUGCAGAGUAGACAAACAAUAUUGUUUUUUGCCAUUUACUCAACAACCAAUUUGCACACACAGAGAGAGGUUGGGAGCCUGACUGGUAAAAUAAAAUUUCUUACUCAGUUGCCAUCA